Molecule: ribosomal RNA, 746 nt
Filed under: Pionopsitta pileata (Pileated parrot)
Lineage: Eukaryota; Metazoa; Chordata; Aves; Psittaciformes; Psittacidae
Description: partial 16S ribosomal RNA
Rfam family: Bacterial large subunit ribosomal RNA
Source: RNAcentral
GGGUGAUAGCUGGUUGCCUGCAAGAUGAAUUUAAGUUCCCUUCUAACCCCUUCCCCUAAGAAAAACCAACCAAACCCCUAUGUAACAGGCUAGAAGCUAUUUAAAGGGGGUACAGCCCCUUUAAAAAAGGAUACAACCUCUACUAGCGGAUAAUCUACCACCUCCUACAACCCCCGUGGGCCCUAAAGCAGCCACCCACAAAGAGUGCGUCAAAGCUCCAUAGACCACAAAAAAAUCUAAAAACAAUGUAAAUCCCUACCCCCUAGCAGGCCAACCUAUAACAAUAGAUGAACCAAUGCUAAAAUGAGUAAUUAGGAUACUAAACUUCCCCCAAGCGCCAACUUGCACACCAUUAAACAGUACCACCACAAUACUACCCCCCCGACCAAAUAUUGAACAUACCCUGUCAAACCAACCCAGGAGCGCACACUAGGGUGAUUAAAAUCUGCAAAAGGAACUCGGCAAACUCAAGGCCCGACUGUUUACCAAAAACAUAGCCUUCAGCAAGACAAGUAUUGAAGGUGAUGCCUGCCCAGUGACAGCACGUUUAACGGCCGCGGUAUCCUAACCGUGCAAAGGUAGCGCAAUCAAUUGUCCCAUAAAUCGAGACCUGUAUGAACGGCUAAACGAGGUCUUAACUGUCUCCUGCAGAUAAUCAAUGAAAUUGAUCUCUUUGUACAAAAGCAAAGAUAAACCCAUAAGACGAGAAGACCCUGUGGAACUUCAAAAUCAAUGACCACCACACC